RNAcentral lists this ribosomal RNA (253 nucleotides) under uncultured bacterium. Its description in RNAcentral is "partial 16S ribosomal RNA". It matches the Rfam family "Bacterial small subunit ribosomal RNA", at positions 524 to 776 of the family's 1533-position model. The record is from RNAcentral.
UACGAAGGACCCGAGCGUUAUCCGGAUUUAUUGGGUUUAAAGGGUGCGUAGGCGGAUUUAUAAGUCAGUGGUGAAAGCCUGUAGCUUAACUAUAGAAUUGCCAUUGAUACUGUAAGUCUUGAGUAUAGUUGAGGUGGGCGGAAUGUGCAGUGUAGCGGUGAAAUGCUUAGAUAUUGCACAGAACACCAAUUGCGAAGGCAGCUCGCUAAACUAUAACUGACGCUGAGGCACGAAAGUGUGGGUAGCAAACAGG